Molecule: ribosomal RNA, 232 nt
Filed under: uncultured bacterium
Lineage: Bacteria
Description: partial 16S ribosomal RNA
Rfam family: Bacterial small subunit ribosomal RNA
Source: RNAcentral
CGUAAAAGUGGCGCACGGGUGAGUAACACGUGGAUCAUCUACCUUUUAGUGGGGAAUACCUCUGGGAAACCGGAGACAAUACCGCAUAAGCCUGUAAAGGGAGAGCAGCAAUGCGCUGAAAGAGGAGUCCGCGGCCGAUUAGCUAGUUGGCGGGGUAAUGGCCCACCAAGGCGAAGAUCGGUAGCCGGCCUGAGAGGGCACACGGCCACACUGGCACUGAAACACGGGCCAG